UACAGAGGUCUCAAGCGUUGUUCGGAUUCAUUGGGCGUAAAGGGCGCGUAGGCGGUUUGCAUAGUCAGACGUGAAAUUCCUGGGCUUAACCUGGGGGCUGCGUUUGAUACAUGCAGGCUUGAGUUCGGAAGAGGGUCGUGGAAUUCCCAGUGUAGAGGUGAAAUUCGUAGAUAUUGGGAAGAACACCGGUGGCGAAGGCGGCGACCUGGUCCGAUACUGACGCUGAGGCGCGAAAGCGUGGGGAGCAAACAGG
This 253-nucleotide ribosomal RNA is filed under the name uncultured bacterium. Its description in RNAcentral is "partial 16S ribosomal RNA". It matches the Rfam family "Bacterial small subunit ribosomal RNA", at positions 524 to 776 of the family's 1533-position model. The record is from RNAcentral.